Molecule: ribosomal RNA, 340 nt
Filed under: uncultured bacterium
Lineage: Bacteria
Description: bacterial SSU rRNA
Rfam family: Bacterial small subunit ribosomal RNA
Source: RNAcentral
AGAGUUUGAUCCUGGCUCAGAAUCAACGCUGGCGGCGUGCCUCAGACAUGCAAGUCGAACGCGAAAGUUCCCUUCGGGGAGCAAGUAGAGUGGCGCACGGGUGAGUAACACGUAGGUAAUCUACCUUUGGAUUGGGAAUAACCAUCGGAAACGGUGGCUAAUACCGAAUAAUGCAGCGGCACCUAAUGGUGACAGUUGUUAAAGCGGGGGAUCGCAAGACCUCGCGUCUGAAGAGGAGCCUGCGGCAGAUUAGCUAAUUGGUAAGGUAACGGCUUACCAAGGCGAUGAUCUGUAGCCUGCCUGAGAGGGCGGUCGGCCACACUGACACUGACAUACGGGU